CAGCAGCCACGGGAAUACGUAGGGGGCGAGCGUUAAUCGGAAUUACUGGGCGUAAAGCGUGCGCAGGCGGUUGUGUAAGACAGGUGUGAAAUCCCCGGGCUUAACCUGGGAACUGCGCUUGUGACUGCACAGCUAGAGUAUGGCAGAGGGGGGUGGAAUUCCACGUGUAGCAGUGAAAUGCGUAGAGAUGUGGAGGAACACCAACGGCGAAAGCACUCUGCUGGGCCGACACUGACACUGAGAGACGAAAGCUAGGGGAGCAAAUGGGAUUAGAUACCCGGGUAGUCCCUGUCUCUUAUAC
Molecule: ribosomal RNA, 301 nt
Filed under: uncultured bacterium
Lineage: Bacteria
Description: partial 16S ribosomal RNA
Rfam family: Bacterial small subunit ribosomal RNA
Source: RNAcentral